AAAACGACUCUCGGCAACGGAUAUCUCGGCUCUCGCAUCGAUGAAGAACGUAGCGAAAUGCGAUACUUGGUGUGAAUUGCAGAAUCCCGUGAACCAUCGAGUCUUUGAACGCAAGUUGCGCCCGAAGCCUUCCGGCCGAGGGCACGUCUGCCUGGGCGUCACGC
This 164-nucleotide ribosomal RNA is filed under the name Corallodiscus lanuginosus. Its description in RNAcentral is "5.8S ribosomal RNA". It matches the Rfam family "5.8S ribosomal RNA". From Rfam's summary of the family: 5.8S ribosomal RNA (5.8S rRNA) is a component of the large subunit of the eukaryotic ribosome. It is transcribed by RNA polymerase I as part of the 45S precursor that also contains 18S and 28S rRNA. The record is from RNAcentral. Lineage: Eukaryota; Viridiplantae; Streptophyta; Magnoliopsida; Lamiales; Gesneriaceae. RNAcentral also lists the same sequence under 1 other name.